UCCGGUUUGGCACCGGCAGUCUCCCAUGAGUCCCCGACAUAACUCGCUGGCAACAUGGGAUAGGGGUUGCGCUCGUUGCGCCACUUAAGGCAACACCUCACGGCACGAGCUGACGACAGCCAUGCACCACCUGUGCGGGCUCCGAAGAGCACCUUGUUUCCAAGGGUUCACCCCGCAUGUCAAGCCCAGGUAAGGUUCUUCGCGUUGCGUCGAAUUGAACCACAUGCUCCACCGCUUGUGCGGGCCCCCGUCAAUUCCUUUGAGUUUCAGCCUUGCGGCCGUACUCCCCAGGCGGGGCACUUAAUGCGUUAGCUACGACACUGAAAGGCUUAACCCUCCAACGUCUAGUCCUCAUCGUUUAUGGCGUGGACUAC
This 374-nucleotide unclassified non-coding RNA is filed under the name uncultured bacterium. RNAcentral's name for it is "contains 16S-23S intergenic spacer region". The record is from RNAcentral.